Long non-coding RNA from Homo sapiens (human), 496 nucleotides. Ensembl annotates it as long intergenic non-protein coding RNA 2832. NCBI's taxonomy places the organism in Eukaryota, Metazoa, Chordata, Mammalia, Primates, Hominidae. The record is from Ensembl.
AGGCGUGAGCCACGGCGCCUGGCCAGCAGGCACCUCUUAUGCUUGCUUUGAAAAUAUACUUAUGAGCCAUUUGAAGUGCUGUCUGCUCCUUGGCCUUCUGGCAUGAUUGUAAGCUUCCUGAGGCCUCCCUAGAGGAUGAGUACAUGGCAGCAUCAUGCUUCCUGUACAGGCCGCAGAACUGUGAGUCAAUUAAAAUUCUUCUUUAUAAACUACUCAGUCCCAGGUAUUUAUUUAUUUAUAGCAAUGCAAAAACAAUCUAAUACAAGGCCUUAUCAGACACUGAAUCUGCUCAUGCCUUGAUCUUGGACUUCUCAGCCUCCAGAACUGUGAGAAAUAAAGGCUUGAGCCACUCGUCUAUGAUAUUUUAGUUAUAGCAAUCAAAAUGGACUAAGACAACCACUAUGCCUGUGGUGGCACUGUGAAUAGAGAGAGAGGGAACAGGGAAAUAUCUAGAUCUGUGUGCUGAUACCACUUUUUUUCUCCACAUUAUUCUCCU